This 21-nucleotide non-coding RNA is filed under the name Caenorhabditis elegans. The record is from RNAcentral. Lineage: Eukaryota; Metazoa; Nematoda; Chromadorea; Rhabditida; Rhabditidae.
UAUUAAAUGAUAAAAUAAAAU